UCGUACGCUGAAGCCCGCGCUUGCGUGGGUGGAUGAGUGGCGAACGGGUGAGUAACACGUGGGUAAUCUGCCUCAUGCUCUGGGAUAAGCCUGGGAAACUGGGUCUAAUACCGGAUAGGACCAUUCCUCGCAUGAGGGGUGGUGGAAAGCUUCGGCGGUAUGAGUUGAGCCCGCGGCCUAUCAGCUUGUUGGUGGGGUGAUGGCCUACCAAGGCGGUGACGGGUAGCCGGCCUGAGAGGGCGACCGGCCACACUGGGACUGAGACACGGCCCAGACUCCUACGGGAGGCAGCAGUGGGGAAUAUUGCACAAUGGGCGCAAGCCUGAUGCAGCGACGCCGCGUGAGGGAUGACGGCCUUCGGGUUGUAAACCUCUUUCGCCAGGGACGAAGGGUGAUACUGACGGUACCUGGAGAAGAAGCACCGGCUAACUACGUGCCAGCAGCCGCGGUAAUACGUAGGGUGCAAGCGUUGUCCGGAAUUAUUGGGCGUAAAGAGCUCGUAGGCGGUGUGUCACGUCUGCCGUGAAAACCUACAGCUUAACUGUGGGCGUGCGGUGGAUACGGGCAUCACUUGAGUUCGGCAGGGGAGACUGGAAUUCCUGGUGUAGCGGUGGAAUGCGCAGAUAUCAGGAGGAACACCGGUGGCGAAGGCGGGUCUCUGGGCCGAUACUGACGCUGAGGAGCGAAAGCGUGGGGAGCGAACAGGAUUAGAUACCCUGGUAGUCCACGCUGUAAACGUUGGGCGCUAGGUGUGGGGUGCUGUCCAUGUACUCCGUGCCGUAGCUAACGCAUUAAGCGCCCCGCCUGGGGAGUACGGCCGCAAGGCUAAAACUCAAA
Molecule: ribosomal RNA, 837 nt
Filed under: Prauserella sp. CUA-763
Lineage: Bacteria; Bacillati; Actinomycetota; Actinomycetes; Pseudonocardiales; Pseudonocardiaceae
Description: bacterial SSU rRNA
Rfam family: Bacterial small subunit ribosomal RNA
Source: RNAcentral